AGAUGGUUCUGCUAUCACUCUUGGAUGGACCUGCGGUGCAUUAGCUAGUUGGUAAGGUAACGGCUUACCAAGGCAAUGAUGCAUAGCCGAGUUGAGAGACUGAUCGGCCACAUUGGGACUGAGACACGGCCCAAACUCCUACGGGAGGCAGCAGUAGGGAAUCUUCCACAAUGGACGAAAGUCUGAUGGAGCAACGCCGCGUGAGUGAAGAAGGGUUUCGGCUCGUAAAGCUCUGUUGGUAGUGAAGAAAGAUAGAGGUAGUAACUGGCCUUUAUUUGACGGUAAUUACUUAGAAAGUCACGGCUAACUACGUGCCAGCAGCCGCGGUAAUACGUAGGUGGCAAGCGUUGUCCGGAUUUAUUGGGCGUAAAGCGAGUGCAGGCGGUUCAAUAAGUCUGAUGUGAAAGCCUUCGGCUCAACCGGAGAAUUGCAUCAGAAACUGUUGAACUUGAGUGCAGAAGAGGAGAGUGGAACUCCAUGUGUAGCGGUGGAAUGCGUAGAUAUAUGGAAGAACACCAGUGGCGAAGGCGGCUCUCUGGUCUGCAACUGACGCUGAGGCUCGAAAGCAUGGGUAGCGAACAGGAUUAGAUACCCUGGUAGUCCAUGCCGUAAACGAUGAGUGCUAAGUGUUGGGAGGUUUCCGCCUCUCAGUGCUGC
RNAcentral lists this ribosomal RNA (657 nucleotides) under uncultured bacterium. RNAcentral's name for it is "bacterial SSU rRNA". It matches the Rfam family "Bacterial small subunit ribosomal RNA", at positions 202 to 849 of the family's 1533-position model. The record is from RNAcentral.